CGUAGCAUGGUGAACCUUGGGGAAAAGCCGCCUAACAUGAUUAAAUUGUAUUUUGUUCUACUAUUCCAAAAUUGUUGUGGUACAAUAUAAGGUGCAGAGUAAAGUUUAACAUGUUAGGCGGAUUUUUCACUAAGGUUCAUGUGGUUAUC
Non-coding RNA from Brachypodium distachyon (stiff brome), 149 nucleotides. Lineage: Eukaryota; Viridiplantae; Streptophyta; Magnoliopsida; Poales; Poaceae. The record is from RefSeq and is marked provisional.